Molecule: ribosomal RNA, 1329 nt
Filed under: Streptococcus thermophilus
Lineage: Bacteria; Bacillati; Bacillota; Bacilli; Lactobacillales; Streptococcaceae
Description: bacterial SSU rRNA
Rfam family: Bacterial small subunit ribosomal RNA
Source: RNAcentral
GCGAACGGGUGAGUAACGCGUAGGUAACCUGCCUUGUAGCGGGGGAUAACUAUUGGAAACGAUAGCUAAUACCGCAUAACAAUGGAUGACACAUGUCAUUUAUUUGAAAGGGGCAAUUGCUCCACUACAAGAUGGACCUGCGUUGUAUUAGCUAGUAGGUGAGGUAAUGGCUCACCUAGGCGACGAUACAUAGCCGACCUGAGAGGGUGAUCGGCCACACUGGGACUGAGACACGGCCCAGACUCCUACGGGAGGCAGCAGUAGGGAAUCUUCGGCAAUGGGGGCAACCCUGACCGAGCAACGCCGCGUGAGUGAAGAAGGUUUUCGGAUCGUAAAGCUCUGUUGUAAGUCAAGAACGGGUGUGAGAGUGGAAAGUUCACACUGUGACGGUAGCUUACCAGAAAGGGACGGCUAACUACGUGCCAGCAGCCGCGGUAAUACGUAGGUCCCGAGCGUUGUCCGGAUUUAUUGGGCGUAAAGCGAGCGCAGGCGGUUUGAUAAGUCUGAAGUUAAAGGCUGUGGCUCAACCAUAGUUCGCUUUGGAAACUGUCAAACUUGAGUGCAGAAGGGGAGAGUGGAAUUCCAUGUGUAGCGGUGAAAUGCGUAGAUAUAUGGAGGAACACCGGUGGCGAAAGCGGCUCUCUGGUCUGUAACUGACGCUGAGGCUCGAAAGCGUGGGGAGCGAACAGGAUUAGAUACCCUGGUAGUCCACGCCGUAAACGAUGAGUGCUAGGUGUUGGAUCCUUUCCGGGAUUCAGUGCCGCAGCUAACGCAUUAAGCACUCCGCCUGGGGAGUACGACCGCAAGGUUGAAACUCAAAGGAAUUGACGGGGGCCCGCACAAGCGGUGGAGCAUGUGGUUUAAUUCGAAGCAACGCGAAGAACCUUACCAGGUCUUGACAUCCCGAUGCUAUUUCUAGAGAUAGAAAGUUACUUCGGUACAUCGGUGACAGGUGGUGCAUGGUUGUCGUCAGCUCGUGUCGUGAGAUGUUGGGUUAAGUCCCGCAACGAGCGCAACCCCUAUUGUUAGUUGCCAUCAUUCAGUUGGGCACUCUAGCGAGACUGCCGGUAAUAAACCGGAGGAAGGUGGGGAUGACGUCAAAUCAUCAUGCCCCUUAUGACCUGGGCUACACACGUGCUACAAUGGUUGGUACAACGAGUUGCGAGUCGGUGACGGCGAGCUAAUCUCUUAAAGCCAAUCUCAGUUCGGAUUGUAGGCUGCAACUCGCCUACAUGAAGUCGGAAUCGCUAGUAAUCGCGGAUCAGCACGCCGCGGUGAAUACGUUCCCGGGCCUUGUACACACCGCCCGUCACACCACGAGAGUUUGUA